This is a long non-coding RNA of Wyeomyia smithii (pitcher-plant mosquito), 1416 nucleotides long. RefSeq lists it as uncharacterized. Lineage: Eukaryota; Metazoa; Arthropoda; Insecta; Diptera; Culicidae. The record is from RefSeq and is a predicted model, not a curated record. The transcript is spliced from 2 exons.
AACAUGACCGCCUGUCAGAGCGAGAAUCGCCGCGGAAACAAAAAUAACAUUAGCGUGACUGGUGGAAUCGAUGAAAUAAUUUGUAGAAAAUACAAGGCAAAUUCGGAAAUCUUCGAUUCGAACACACUAACAGAGAUAACAAAAAACAGUCGCUUGUGAUGUCAGUGAUGUGAUUCUUUCAGUAAGAUGGGUAACUCCGUAUCAAAAAAGGAACAGAGGGCCACGGACAUAAGGAAAUCUGUGUUUAAAUACAAGGCUGCCCACAACCCGUGGGGAGCAACACAUCGAGCUGAUGCGAUUUACAGAGGGGUAAAAAUUAACAACGCGCGGAAGGCUGGUGGUUCUUCGUUUAUCGGAAAGAUUUUUUUUAUCAUACUCGCCGCUGGUGCGGGAUGGUUUUUCUGGCCCCGAAUUAAACACACACUCGAGGAGAUGGGUUACUACCCUAUUCUAGUGGAAUAUGCAAAUUGGAUCAUGGAUAACACCAUUUCCUUCGGGCUUGUACUUCAGCGACUUUGGGACAGAGGUAUUGAUCGUUUCUAUCCCAGCCAAACCACUAUUUCAGAGUAUAAAAAUUGGAUCAUGGAUUACGCUAUUUACUUCGGAAGCGCACUAAGGCCACUUUGGGACAAGAUCAUUGAUGUUUUGCAACCAACUGUGAAUCGUUUCUAUCCCAGCCAAACAACUGUAUCAGAGUAUAGGAAUUGUUUCAUGGAUUAUGCCAUUUUCUUCGGGAGUGCGCUUCAGCGACUUCGGGAAUGGAGAGGGGAUUUCAUCUUACUGUAUCGGAAUAAUUGAUUGGCACUAUGGACAACGGCGUUGAAAAAUAUCAGGAGAAUGUCAGAGUGGAAUUGAUAAUUCCUGUACCUCCUUAUGGUGAAGUUUUUUGUAAUUGUAAUCAGGGAUGCCACAUGUAAAGAUUAAUCUGUAUUUUACAGAUUUUUGGCCGAAAAAACGGUACAGAAUCUGUAUAUACAGAUAUACAGAUUUUCGUCGAAAAGUACAGAUUUACAGAUUUUUCGAAAUUGACAUUAAUUUUCAAAAACAAUCCAUUUUUUUUUUUCAUUAAAUAUUGAGCAAAUUGAACAUAUUUUCAACUCCUCACACGUUUUAAGCUAAAAAUUUGGUUUAUGUACCAUAAAAACUUAAAAAAUAAAAAUAGUUGUUUGUGUUUAAACAACACAGAUUUUUUUUACAGAUAUUUUUGUUCCAGAUACAGAUGUUCAGAUUUUUCCAAGGGAAAACACAGAUUUAAAUGUGGCAACCCUGAUUGUAAUUGUGUAGUAUAGGAGGGGCCCUAGGCCCAGGUCUCCAGUGUAUACACCGUCCAUGCUAUACUAGUAGAUUCUACUAAGUAGAAUAGUGGAGAUGGAACAAUAAAGCAAUCAGGCGGAUUGAAAUGGGUAUGUUGCAUAA